GGGGCUAUAGCUCAGCUGGGAGAGCGCUGCGUUCGCAAUGCAGAGGUCAGCGGUUCAAUCCCGCUUAGCUCCA
This 73-nucleotide transfer RNA is filed under the name Calditrichia bacterium. Its description in RNAcentral is "Calditrichae bacterium (marine sediment metagenome) tRNA-Ala". It matches the Rfam family "tRNA". Rfam says of the family: Transfer RNA (tRNA) molecules are approximately 80 nucleotides in length. Their secondary structure includes four short double-helical elements and three loops (D, anti-codon, and T loops). The record is from RNAcentral. RNAcentral also lists the same sequence under 1 other name. Lineage: Bacteria; Pseudomonadati; Calditrichota; Calditrichia.